UACGUAGGUGGCAAGCGUUGUCCGGAAUUAUUGGGCGUAAAGCGCGCGCAGGCGGCCUUUUAAGUCUGAUGUGAAGUCUUGCGGCUCAACCGCAAGCGGCCAUUGGAAACCGUAUGGCUAGAGUCCGGAAGAGGAGAGUGGAAUUCCUGGUGUAGCGGUGAAAUUCGUAGAUAUUAGGAAGAACACCGGUGGCGAAGGCGGCCCACUGGCUCGACACUGACGCUGAGGUGCGAAAGCGUGGGGAGCAAACAGG
This 253-nucleotide ribosomal RNA is filed under the name uncultured bacterium. RNAcentral describes it as "partial 16S ribosomal RNA". It matches the Rfam family "Bacterial small subunit ribosomal RNA", at positions 524 to 776 of the family's 1533-position model. The record is from RNAcentral.